RNAcentral lists this ribosomal RNA (873 nucleotides) under uncultured archaeon. RNAcentral describes it as "bacterial SSU rRNA". It matches the Rfam family "Archaeal small subunit ribosomal RNA", at positions 125 to 1000 of the family's 1478-position model. The record is from RNAcentral.
CAUAACCUCCUGGGAAACUGGGGAUAAUACCGGAUAACGCAUAUGUGCUGGAAUGCUUUAUGCGUAAAACGGAUUCGUCCGCCCAAGGAUGGGUCUGCGGCCUAUCAGGUAGUAGUGGGUGUAAUGUACCUACUAGCCAACAACGGGUACGGGUUGUGAGAGCAAGAGCCCGGAGAUGGAUUCUGAGACAUGAAUCCAGGCCCUACGGGGCGCAGCAGGCGCGAAAACUUUACAAUGCGGGAAACCGUGAUAAGGGAACACCGAGUGCCGGCAUCAUAUGCUGGCUGUCCAGAUGUGUAAAGUACAUCUGUUAGCAAGGGCCGGGCAAGACCGGUGCCAGCCGCCGCGGUAACACCGGCGGCCCGAGUGGUGACCGUUAUUAUUGGGUCUAAAGGGUCCGUAGCCGGUUUGGUCAGUCCUCCGGGAAAUCUGAUAGCUUAACUGUUAGGCUUUCGGGGGAUACUGCCAGGCUUGGAACCGGGAGAGGUAAGAGGUACUACAGGGGUAGGAGUGAAAUCUUGUAAUCCCUGUGAGACCACCUGUGGCGAAAGCGUCUUACCAGAAAAGGUUCUACAGUGAGAGGACGAUAAGCUCGGGGCACGAACACGAUUAUAUACACCGGUAGUCUCAGCCGUGAACUAUGCUCGCUAUAUGUCAAGCAUGGCGCGACCCUGUCUGGUGCCCUAAGGAAUCCCCGUAGCGAGCCACCUGGUGAAUACCGCCCCACGAUGAAAAUUAUUAGAAAUAUCGGGGGAGGAACACAAACAGCUGGGGCUGCUGCUUAUUAGUUCUCAACAACGUCGAACUCAUCCCGGGCGGACAGUAAAUAGAUGCAGCUGAAACAUCCCUGCAUGCUUAGAAAGGGCAUGACAU